CUUGCAGCAUCCUGUGAAAUGCAGCGAGUAACUCCAGCUCACCCAAGGAAUCAUCUUUCUGACUCUUCUUCGCCAGAAGCUAUAAAUCCAUUAGGUGCAUUUUUGACUUUUCAGGUCUCCUCGGCAGCAGGUUUACCACCACAUAACCCAGUGCUCUUUCUCUAGCCCGGUUUAGGUUUCCUUACCACCUGCUGCCCAGUCCCAAAGCUACUGCCACAUAUUUUAGGUUGUGGCAGCAGCCCAGUUCAAGGUACCAACUUCCAUAUUUGUUCUAGCAGCAAUAAUACUUCUGAAUAACUCCAGGACUUAAAGCAAAAAAUACAUUGUACUUAGGGAUCUGCCCGCUUCUCUUCUGCUCCAGGCUAUGGGUCAGGUUCAAGUCUACUCAACGCUUCGGAUAUUCUGGGCUCCAGGCUGAAGGGCCAACUGCUCUAUCAGCCGUGCUCUUCUCGUAGCAUAUCACAGAGUGUGAGCACUAGCUUAUUUUUAGUAAACGUUUCUUCUAUCCCACCCCCCAAUCCCAUCCUGUCUUUGUGCCAGUUCCCAGGUUGUUUUGUUAGGUCCUUUUCAGUUAAUUAAUUGUCGCAUCAGCUGUAGUUAACUGUUCAUUGGGCUUCUCAUUUCAUGUUUCAUUUCUGAAAGUUCUAGUGGCUUCAUUUUCAGGUAUGCCUGGUCAGUUUUGAACCGUUCUGUUUCCAUUAUAUGUAAGCUUACAUGUCUUCGUUUGUAUUUCAUAUUUGCAAAGUUAACAUCUGGUCCUUGGGGAGUUCCCGUCAUGGCGCGGCAGAAACAAACCCGACUAGGAAUCAUGAGGUUGAGGGUUCGAUCCCUGGCCUCCCUCAGUGGGUUAAGGAUCCGGCGUUGCCCUGAGCUGUGGUGUAGGUCACAGUUGUGGCUCAGAUCUGGCAUUGCAGUGGCUGUGGUGUAGGCCGGCAGCUGUAGCUCUGAUUAGACCCCUAGCCUGGGAACCUCCAAAUGCUGCUGGUGCAGCCUUAAAAAGGACAAAAAGACAAAACAAAAAAAUCUGGUCCUUGGGGCCUAAUUUUGCUGCCUUUGUUCCUGCUGACUCUCAUUCCUGGUGGCUUCUUUCCUCGGGUAUUUGGUAAUUUUUCAUGAUGAGUUUCACUAACAGAUUAUAACCUGUAAGAUUCCUGUGAGGGGCAGGGGGGCAGGAGUGAGCAUGCAUCCUUCCAGAGAGAUUUUAUGGAUGCUUCUUCUGGUGCCCAAGGAUGACACCUCUCUGAAGUCACUUUAAAUUAAUCUGUCUUGCUGGCAUUUCCCAGACCGAGAAGGUAUUAAAAAUUCAUACCCAAACCCGAGUGAAGCAGCCUUGGACUGGGAUCUCCUGUGGGAUGCUUCUGGGGUAUUUCUCAUUCAGAGCCAAAGCAGGAGAUGGCCAAUUUCCCAGCGGUCCCCUUUUCAAGUGACUAGACUGCAGGAUGAGUUCCAGAUCCAGGCAGAGGUCUCCGAUCAGGCUCCCCCUUUUGUGGGCCAAAUGCUUUAUCUGUUUCUGGGAUGGGCAGGUGCCUCUGGCGUAGCCCACGUCUUCAGCAUCCGCAUGGCUUUGGGCUCCUUUUAACACAGCUGAUUCCUUCCAUCUGUUGCCUCCAUCUCUUCCUUCCUGCUCUGCUCCCUUUGCUUAACCUUCACAUUUAAGUGCAUGUGUAUUGCAUCUUACCCAGCCUUUCUGGGUGUUUGUGGUGGGAGGGUAGCCUGGGGAACAGAAGGUCUGCCCUCCAUCGGACACUUACUCUUCCCCAGGCUCACAGCCGUGUUUCUCAAGAGACUUCAGGGGGCACAGCCCCCAGACUCAGCCCAGGGACCAUCUAGAGGAAGCAAAAGACCUGAUUUCCCUUUAUGAAGUUCUUGUCAGGGAACAAUAUGAACAGACACAAGGACGUAGAAGAGGUAUAAUGACCAUGCAUUUAUUGAGCACCUACUGUCUGCAAGAUUCCAUGUGGGUGCCUCGCCCAUUUAUGGGUGUCAUCUUACUUAAUCCUUACAAGAACCCUUGGAAAGGCUCAGAAAUGGCUAGUGAUGUACCCAGGGUCCCACAGGCAGUAAGUGGCCAGGCUGAGAAGCCAGGUCCACCCCCUUUUCACAGUCCUUUGCUUCUUUAAAAAAUGAGCACAGGAAUUCCUGCUGUGGCUCAGUGGGUUAUGAACCUGACUAGCAUCCAUGAGGAUGUGGGUCCGAUCCCUGGCCUCGCUCAGUAGGUUAGGAUCUGGCAUUGCUCUGAGCUGAGAUGUAGGUUGAAGACAGAGCUCGGAUCGGGCAUGGCUGUGGCUGUGGCGUAAGCCCGGGGACCUCCAUAUGCCUCUAGUGCAGUCCUAAAAAAGCAAAAAAAGCAAACAAAGAAAAUGAGCACAGGCGGGGCUGGCCAUCUGGGAUGGGCUGCGGGGGAAGCAGCAUGACCGCGUUCCCAUUCACUCUGUGCGGUCAGGUCUGAGUGCGCAUGUGCAAGCUGCCGGUGGGCACCCGCAAUGCGGCUUCGAGGGCAUGUCCCCCUCUUCCCUUUUCAUGACGGUUGUAGAAAUCUAAAAGGAACCAACAAGUAAGCCUUUCAAAUGGAGCGCGGGGGUGCUGUGCUGUGCUGUCUGUGAGGGCGGAGGGCUGCCCCAGCGCUGUUUUCUUCAAAGUUGGCAUGUGGAGCUGCUGGUGACAGGCGUGGAUGCUUCAGACUGAGAGACAGGUGUGCCUGCGGACAGGGCUUGCCCUCCCUGCAGCUCCACCGCAGAAGUCCCAGUUGCCCUGUUGUUGCCUCGCCGCCAAGAUGCUCACCAGCCAGGCCUCAUCAGAACUAAGCUCUUUAGGUAUUUUAAUAUUUUUUCAAUCAGGACUCAUCCCCAAGGAUCACAGCAGAUUUAACUCACAAGUCUGGACUCAGGUCUCCCCUCUCAUCCCAGCAGUGUCUGCUCACACCUUCGCCAUUGAGAAAGUCCUAUUUCGUCUCUUCUCCCUGGCACGGCCCCCAGCCCCCAUGUAGCCUGUUCUGCAUCAGGAGGUCUCCAUCCCUGAGACGUAAGGUGCCAGCAGAUAUUAGUGGCAGAGCAGAAGGCAGCUGGCCCUCAGGGAGCACAAGGCCCUGUGCCACGUUUACCAUGGCUUUCCCAGGCCGGCAGGGCCAGGGGGCACUGCGAGGGCAAAGGGAUGGCUUGGGGCAUUCCACUGUUGCACCCAGGGCCCUGAGCUGCCUUUACUUUCCCAGAGGCUUCCUGGGCAGGGCAGCCUGGAAGCGGGGUGCCCAUUUCUGGUUGCUGCUGGAGGGCCCUCUGCACAGUGCCCGACACCUGCUAAGCGGUCUCUAAGUGCUACCUGCUGUCGGGGUCAUGGCUGUUGAUCUGGAGGGACCCUGAAGUCCAUGGUGCUGGCUUUUGCUGGCUCUCGUCUGAGUGAUAAGAGGAAAGCCUGGACCACUGUGCCCAGUAAUUCAGGGUGUUGCCCUAGAACCUGGGUUGCCAGUAGUGUUGAGGUGACGGCCCCCAGUUCUGGGGGGAGGGUGCCCGAAAGGCUGAGUCAGGUGAGCAGGUGGAUAAAGGGGGAGGACCCCUCCUCAUAGCUUUCUCAAGGAGCCUGGCAAGUGGGGUCCCUGCUCUCCACUCAGAUGGGGCUGGUCCACCCCCCACCUCCCUGAGCCCUCCCAGGAGGCCGGAAGACCCUGGCCUCUCGUAGGUGAGGGCCACUGAGGAGCCUGGGUGGCUGGAGAUGGGAACCUGGGGAGGAAGCAGGCCCUCUCAGACCCCAGGGAGAAGCAGGAGGAAGCCACAGAGCCCGAUGUUUAGAAAAGGGGCGCUACUUAUCCCCAGGGCUGCACCGCGCCUGUGACCGUGAUCAUGUCAGGGCCUGCAGGCUCAGCCAGCUGCAAAAGUCGGCAUUGCAGCUGCAUUCAUGGGCGGUGGAGCCCUGUUCCCCAACUUUCUGCGGUGUGUGCCCCAUGCGAGCUGCUGCAUAUGGCUGAUACGGGCCCUGCUCAGAGCCUGCUUCCCCAGGCUUCCUGUGGCUCUGUCUCCCCCCGCCUUUUACCCCCAGCCGGGAGUUGGCAGGAUCAAGAACUGAUGACAAACCAAGGCGCUGGAGCCCACCUUUGGAGCUUUAUCAGGUGGUGCUGGGAAAGAUCUGAAUGGGGCAUGGCAGCCUGGUCGGGGAGGGUUCGGGCUCAGUUGUGGAGGGUCUGGAUCCUCAUCCCCAAAGGGGAUAAGGGCAUGCCUGCCUGACCCUGGAGCCAGCCCAGCACAGGAGAGGGGCCUUGUGCUCCCUGGGCCAGCAGAUGCCCUCAAAGUCACAUUCACUGGUGACAUUAGAAAAAAGAGCGCUUUGUAGGGAAGGCUGUGUGUCACUCCCAGACUUCCCUCCCUCGGUGACACAUGGAAUCUGCUCACCCUUUCCCGAUGGCGGGUCCAUCGUUCCCUGUUCCUGGUGGUGUGAAGGCCACUUUUGCCCCAAGAGUCUACAAGGACACUGCUGUAGACAGAAUAACGCACCCCACCCCCGCCAAGAUGUCCAAUCCUGAUCCCCUUUACAAAGCCCGAGAAGCUUUGCAGGUAUGAUUCAUUGUGAUGGAGUUCCCGUCGUGGCUCAGUGGAAAUGAAUCUGACUAGCAUCCAUGAGGAUGCAGGUUCGAUCCCUGGCCUCACUCUGUGGGUUAAGGAUCUGGUGUUGCCCUGAGCUGUGGUGUAGGUCGCAGACAUGGCUCAGAUCUGGCGUUGCUGUGGCUCUGGCAUAGACCAGCGGCUACAUCUCUGAUUCCACCUCUAGCCUGGGACCCUCCAUGUGCCGAGGGUGUGGCCCUAAAAAAAAAAA
This 4800-nucleotide long non-coding RNA is filed under the name Sus scrofa (pig). RNAcentral describes it as "lncRNA (ENSSSCG00045016454.1)". Lineage: Eukaryota; Metazoa; Chordata; Mammalia; Artiodactyla; Suidae. The record is from RNAcentral.